UAGUGGCAGACGGGUGAGUAAUGUAUAGGAAUCUACCUAGUAGUACGGAAUAAUUGUUGGAAACGGCAACUAAUACCGUAUACGCCCUACGGGGGAAAAAUUUAUUGCUAUUAGAUGAGCCUAUAUUAGAUUAGUUAGUUGGUGAGGUAAAGGCUUACCAAGACAAUGAUCUAUAGCUGAUCUGAGAGGAUGAUCAGCCACACUGGAACUGAGAUACGGUCCAGACUCCUACGGGAGGCAGCAGUGGGGAAUAUUGGACAAUGGGCGAAAGCCUGAUCCAGCCAUGCCGCAUGAGUGAAGAAGGCCUUUGGGUUGUAAAGCUCUUUUAGUGAGGAAGAUAAUGACGGUACUCACAGAAGAAGUCCUGGCUAACUCCGUGCCAGCAGCCGCGGUAAUACGGAGAGGGCUAGCGUUAUUCGGAAUUAUUGGGCGUAAAGGGCGCGUAGGCUGAUUAAUAAGUUAAAAGUGAAAUCCCGAGGCUUAACCUCGGAAU
RNAcentral lists this ribosomal RNA (493 nucleotides) under Wolbachia endosymbiont of Polygenis gwyni. Its description in RNAcentral is "bacterial SSU rRNA". It matches the Rfam family "Bacterial small subunit ribosomal RNA", at positions 93 to 621 of the family's 1533-position model. The record is from RNAcentral. Lineage: Bacteria; Pseudomonadati; Pseudomonadota; Alphaproteobacteria; Rickettsiales; Anaplasmataceae.